UGUGGAGCGAGAGAGAACCAUGGAUCUCUUUCCGGAUAGGACUUGGCGCACUGCCCUGUAUUCAACACAACGGUUGAAUACUAACGUAUGAAGCGCAUUUCCCUUUACACACAGCGGUGGCGCGGGGUCAAUUUUUCUACCAGGGGGGCCAGGGGCCUAACCUAAUCCCCCCUCCCUUAGUUAAACUGUCGUCUCUGGUGAUGGUGUCGCGUUUUGAUGUCAGGUGUCGUUAAAUUACAUUCCGACUUGUCUACACCGACUUCGAGAUUCUUUGCCAUUUCCAAUCGGAAUGAUCAGUUUAGUUGAGAUUUACGGUGAAAAUUUAGCCACGGUUUGAUUUUGAAAAGUGAUGAGGUAUUUCCAUACCAUUCGACCAAGCUUAAUCGAAAGUGAACAAUUCUAAGGCAUCAUGCCGAAUAUCUUUUGCCUUUCUCCACGUGAUCGCUGCCGUGUCAUGACGAUGCUUCUUUGAGAGGGUCUCUACUAUAUUGCAAGACAAAAAUUUGCUGAUAACAGGAAAUUGAGUUGAUUAUAAUGUACUGUAUUUUUAAGAUAAAUCAAGUAGGUAAGUAUAUUGCUUACAUUUUAGUCUACGUAUAUGAGCCUAA
Molecule: long non-coding RNA, 608 nt
Organism: Daphnia pulicaria
Lineage: Eukaryota; Metazoa; Arthropoda; Branchiopoda; Diplostraca; Daphniidae
Exons: 4
Source: RefSeq, a predicted model, not a curated record